This 77-nucleotide transfer RNA is filed under the name Bradyrhizobium arachidis. Its description in RNAcentral is "tRNA-Glu". RNAcentral also lists the same sequence under 1 other name. The record is from RNAcentral. Lineage: Bacteria; Pseudomonadati; Pseudomonadota; Alphaproteobacteria; Hyphomicrobiales; Nitrobacteraceae.
CCUGCCAUCGCCUGGUGCUAAGGGUACGGCGCCUUCAACGCUGGACUUCGCGGGUUGAACUCCCGUUGGCAGGACCA